CAUUCUACAAAACGGAGAAAAAAUUUCAAAUACAAAGGGGAGUCUUCUCUCUCUCUUACCAUUCUCUUUCUCUAAUGCCUCUCUUCCACUCUAAACCAACAAAAAAAUCAACCCCCUCCAUAAUUUUUCUCUCUAAAAAACAUAAACACAACGCACAACUUCUCCAAAAGAAACAUACUUUGACACAAAAACAUACACAAAAAUACACACAUAAUCAGAUUUUCUUCCUCCUUUCUCUCUCACAAAUUACACCAAAUCAGCUACCUUUUUCCGAUUCCGGCGACCACCCAACAAUGCCCAACUGCCGCCCUUUUCACUUUUUUUAUUAUUUCUUCUUAUUCGCUGCUGCUCGAUGGAAAAUGUAUAGAUCCGAUCGGAUCUGCGCCUCUUCGGUGUUGCUCCGGUGAAACCCGUUAAGGCAACACCGGUGACCCAUCCUUUCUUUGUUUCUUUAAGUUUUAGAUCUGGCCGGAAUCUAUGUUUGGCGUUGCUCCGAAUAAAUUCCAUUGAAGAGAUGCCGGUUACCUCCUCUUUUGUUUCAGUCUUAGACGAUUUUCUUUUCCUCUUUGUUUGUUCUUCAUAUUGUUGUUUCAAAUACUAUUUGUUGUGGGUUGGUGCUUUUGUUUACUUGUGAUGCUUGAUAGUAAUAUUUUAUUAUGCUUGUUCUUGAUUGAUUUUUUUUAGAUCUGAUCGGAGUUAGCCAUGGGUUCUUUAAUAAUUUACUUUGGCUGAUUGUUGUUGCUCUAUUUAAUACUGAUUUGGAUAUUUGGGGUGAUUGUUCUGUUCAAAAGUUAAUGACUUUUUGCCAUUUUUUCAUGGUCCUACAUUAUUCCAUUACUGCAUUUGCAUAUUUUAGUAUUUUACCCUUAUAUUGAUUAUCUGGAUAUUUGACUGAUAUAAUGAACAGAUACUACACAUUUUGGUCAAUGAAAAAAUUAUUAUUAAUUUUGAUGCCUCCGUAAAUAAAAGAUGGACUUUACGUAUACAAAUACGUAAAAAUAAAAUAUUUUUGGGCGAUGACGAAGUUUUUAUAACAUCACGAUAACACAAGGAUUUUACGAUUCGUGUCUUGGCAAGGCGAUUUAGGAUGACCGAUUCGUCGAGCAACCAUUUCGCAGCCAUGGCGAGUCUAAAACUUAAUCGGAGCCCACACGUAUUUAAAAUUUAAUUUGAGAUACUUUUUAACGAAAAUUACAUUUGUACAUAUCUUUUUUUUAUAAUUAUUUAUUUGUUACUAACAUUUUUUUACAAGUGUUUGUACAGGUUAUUUGGAAUACUCAUCGGGAGUUGUAUUCAAAGAGACCUUUUAAUUUCAUAUUGCAUUUUAUAUUUAUAUAUUUGUACAAAUAUCAUUAUAGUGAAAACUUUAUUUUUGGGGCAUUGGGCGGGGAUGUUCUUUAUUUAUACAAUUAUUAUCAUGUGUUUAGGCAAAUUCAG
Molecule: long non-coding RNA, 1437 nt
Filed under: Capsicum annuum
Lineage: Eukaryota; Viridiplantae; Streptophyta; Magnoliopsida; Solanales; Solanaceae
Description: long non-coding RNA (CANN_LNC000639)
Source: RNAcentral